GGCCGCGGGAUUAGAGUUUGAUCCUGGCUCAGAGCGAACGCUGGCGGCAUGCUUAACACAUGCAAGUCGCACGGGCAGCAAUGUCAGUGGCGGACGGGUGAGUAACGCGUAGGUAUCUAUCCUUGGGUGGGGGACAACUGUGGGAAACUACAGCUAAUACCGCAUAACAACUGAGGUUCAAAGGCGCAAGUCGCCUGAGGAGGAGCCUGCGUACGAUUAGCUAGUUGGUGGGGUAAAGGCCUACCAAGGCGACGAUCGUUAGCUGGUCUGAGAGGAUGAUCAGCCACAUUGGGACUGAGACACGGCCCAAACUCCUACGGGAGGCAGCAGUGGGGAAUAUUGGACAAUGGGCGAAAGCCUGAUCCAGCAAUGCCGCGUGUGUGAAGAAGGCCUUCGGAUUGUAAAGCACUUUCGACGGGGACGAUGAUGACGGUACCCGUAGAAGAAGCCCCGGCUAACUUCGUGCCAGCAGCCGCGGUAAUACGAAGGGGGCUAGCGUUGCUCGGAAUGACUGGGCGUAAAGGGCGCGUAGGCGGAUGGCACAGUCAGAUGUGAAAUUCCCGGGCUUAACCUGGGGGCUGCAUUUGAUACGUGUUGUCUAGAGUGAGGAAGAGGGUCGUGGAAUUCCCAGUGUAGAGGUGAAAUUCGUAGAUAUUGGGAAGAACACCGGUGGCGAAGGCGGCGACCUGGUCCUUGACUGACGCUGAGGCGCGAAAGCGUGGGGAGCAAACAGGAUUAGAUACCCUGGUAGUCCACGCUGUAAACGAUGUGUGCUGGAUGCUGGGCGACCUAGUCGCUCAGUGUCGUAGCUAACGCGAUAAGCACACCGCCUGGGGAGUACGGCCGCAAGGUUGAAACU
RNAcentral lists this ribosomal RNA (859 nucleotides) under uncultured Alphaproteobacteria bacterium. Its description in RNAcentral is "bacterial SSU rRNA". It matches the Rfam family "Bacterial small subunit ribosomal RNA", at positions 1 to 901 of the family's 1533-position model. Lineage: Bacteria; Pseudomonadati; Pseudomonadota; Alphaproteobacteria. The record is from RNAcentral.